AGAAAAACGCAUAAACCAAUAAUGCAAAAUGUAAGUAGCCAUAAGUGACUCCAAGAUAGGACCACUUGUUUUGCUUGCAAUUUCGAAUGGUCAAAGAGGUAGUGAAGACUCCAUGUGCGGGUGUGAGGAUAAUGUUGAGUCUAUGAGACUCGAUUUUCCGAGAGUCCUUAAUCGGGACUCCAUUUUUGUUCCAAAGUAUUCAUGCAAAUAAAGAGAAGAUAAAAUGAAUUAGUAAGACAUUCGACGUUAAGCGAUAUUAUAAAAAUAGAUAGUACUAAUUAAGUAACAUUAUACAUCAAAUAUAAUAUUUAACAUAUAAAGCGUGCUAGUGCCGAACGGAAAACUCAAACUAAG
This 354-nucleotide long non-coding RNA is filed under the name Solanum tuberosum (potato). Its description in RNAcentral is "long non-coding RNA (STUB_LNC000720)". Lineage: Eukaryota; Viridiplantae; Streptophyta; Magnoliopsida; Solanales; Solanaceae. The record is from RNAcentral.